Molecule: long non-coding RNA, 2109 nt
Filed under: Cotesia glomerata
Lineage: Eukaryota; Metazoa; Arthropoda; Insecta; Hymenoptera; Braconidae
Description: uncharacterized LOC123260946
Source: RNAcentral
UAAAGGGUUAGAAAAUUUUAAUUAUUUAAAAUAAUGUAUUUAACAAUUUUUUUUUUUUAAAUGACUACUGCAACUGGUUAACAUUUGUCAGAGUUAUUGUCAAAACGGUUUCAAUAGAGAAUGCAAUUUCAAUAUCAUCAGUUUUAAGAAUUCCAUUCUCUUCUUGAAUAUAAUUUUUUGGCAAUAUUCAUUGGAGAGUGAAUAAAUAAAGUGCAUUCAACAACUUACGUGAUAAUUCCACUUCAACAUUGACUCGGGUAGCGGCAUUUGCACGUCGAGUGAAAACACUUUUAACAUUUUUUAAUAGCCUCGCAGUCUCCGUCAAUCUGGAAGCCGUGCAUUGUGAUACGAUUGAAAAAUUUUGUGCAUAAAUAAUCAUUUGUAAAUAAUAAAUGAUGUCAUCUUCAUUGUUGAUCCAAUAUUCAUCAAAUAAAUAUAGAUUAAAAUAAUUCUAUACAUUUGCAAAAUUAUCAGCGCAAUGUCAACAAGAACGUGCAGUUAUCUAAUUAUGAUUCAUUGAGCAUAGACAUGCAAAAAUACAUUUCGUUGUGGUCAUACAAAAAAAGUUAAAAAUACAGGUCAUGCAUCGUAAUCUAGAGUAGUCAUCAAUUAUGAAUAUAAUCUACUUGAACAUUUAUUUGAACUAAUAAAAGGUGUAAUUAAAGUUAAUUUUACAUCUACUUUAACAAGUACUUACACCUCGCGAGAUCAGCAAUCGCAUGCACAGGCCUGUACGUAUAACCACUUUUCAGAGUACCAAAGAAUAAAAAAUGAUUAAAAAAAUGUUGUUACUAAUCAACCUAAAAUAUUUCAACUAUCUAUGAUUCUCAAAUUUUUUCAAUUUGAUUUUUUCUUGUUAAUUAAAUAUUUAAAAUUUUGUUUCAAAAAUAUUAUGAUUAGUAAACAAAUUUUUAGAUUAAAAUGAUUGAGCUUGCGAUAUUAAUUCAAUUGACUGGACAUAAAUAAACAGAAAAAAAACUGAAUCAUAGAAAGCAAAAUAUCAUUAAGGGUAUAGUCUAGCUAGUCACUUUCGAAAAUUCGAUUUUUUUUACAUUUUUUGAAUGUAUUUGUAUCUGAGGAUUCCCGGAGAUAUGUUAACGGUUUUGGGCAACGGCUCGCAGACCAAAUUUUGAUAAGAUUUUUUAUUUAAAAAAACUCAAAACUACGUUUUCACGGACGGCCAACACGAUUUCUCCGGAACACUUGGGCCGAUUCUUUCGAAAUUUUAGCCACAUAUUUUACACAUAAAUACUCACAAAAUAGAUUAUCAUAUUAAAAUAUUGAUUUUUACUAUUUUGUUUUACAAAUAACAGCGAAAAAAAAAAACAAUUUGUUCAUUUUUUUUGGUUUUUGUUACUUAAAAUUAACAACAAUUGUUCAAAAUUAAUAUAGAUAGUCUAUUUUGUAGCCAUUUUUAUACCGAAUCUAAAAAACUUCGUUUUUUUUUGUUUAGGAUAAGUCGUCGCCGAGAUAUCGUGUAGGAGCCGACUUGCCUCCAAAUUAUGACCUUCCUUUUGAGUACGAAUUUUGUGUAGAAAAAAUUGAAAAAAAAUUUUCUUUUUGUAAUUUAAGACUGCAUUUACCAUCUCUAAUAACUUUUAUAAACAUAUUUUUCACAGCAAGAUCACGAGAAAUCCCCAAAAAUAGCCUAUUUUUAUGGCCGACGAACUAGACUAUGUCCUUAAAGAAAAGAAUAAAUUAAUUAAAUAAAAAAUAAAUAGACUGUACUAAGCAAUAACGUAUUAAACUAACUUUUACUGAACAAAUUUUUCAAUACUGCCAAUUAAAUUUUGUUUUAAAUGGUGAUUAAAACGUUAUUGCUUAUUAUUAACCAAAUAGUUAUAAAUUUUCAGUAAAGUGCAUAAUAAAAAAUUAAAGUGCCAACUAAACUAUUAAUAAAAUUAUAAUACAAUGUAAAUUUGGAAAAAUAAUAAAUAUAUUCAAUAUUAUUGUCAAUUGUAAAUUGAAAUCAUAUUAUAUAUUACAUGUUUUAUUUUAAUUUAUAUUUGGUAAAUAAAUGAGUAGUAAUGAAGACUAAAAAUACCUCAUUUUACUCAAAUUUAUCUUAUUAUAUAAUUGACAAGUCUAAUAUUAUAAUUAUGUACCAAA